Molecule: ribosomal RNA, 437 nt
Filed under: Halomonas sp. Halo30-5
Lineage: Bacteria; Pseudomonadati; Pseudomonadota; Gammaproteobacteria; Oceanospirillales; Halomonadaceae
Description: bacterial SSU rRNA
Rfam family: Bacterial small subunit ribosomal RNA
Source: RNAcentral
AGAAUUGGGGGCAGUCUACCAUGCAAGUCGAGCGGAAACGAUGGAAGCUUGCUUCCAGGCGUCGAGCGGCGGACGGGUGAGUAAUGCAUAGGAAUCUGCCCGGUAGUGGGGGAUAACCUGGGGAAACCCAGGCUAAUACCGCAUACGUCCUACGGGAGAAAGCAGGGGAUCUUCGGACCUUGCGCUAUCGGAUGAGCCUAUGUCGGAUUAGCUAGUUGGUGAGGUAAUGGCUCACCAAGGCCGCGAUCCGUAGCUGGUCUGAGAGGAUGAUCAGCCACAUCGGGACUGAGACACGGCCCGAACUCCUACGGGAGGCAGCAGUGGGGAAUAUUGGACAAUGGGCGAAAGCCUGAUCCAGCCAUGCCGCGUGUGUGAAGAAGGCCCUCGGGUUGUAAAGCACUUUCAGUGAGGAAGAACGCUUGCGGGUUAAUACCCCG